UACGUAGGGGUCUAGCGUUGUCCGGAAUUAUUGGGCGUAAAGAGCGCGUAGGCGGUCCGGUAAGUCCGCUCUGAAAGUCCGGGGCUCAACCCCGGGAGGCGGGCGGAUACUGUCGGGCUAGAGUCCGGAAGAGGCGAGUGGAAUUCCUGGUGUAGCGGUGAAAUGCGCAGAUAUCAGGAGGAACACCGAUGGCGAAGGCAGCUCGCUGGGACGGUACUGACGCUGAGGCGCGAAAGCGUGGGGAGCAAACAGG
This 253-nucleotide ribosomal RNA is filed under the name uncultured bacterium. RNAcentral describes it as "partial 16S ribosomal RNA". It matches the Rfam family "Bacterial small subunit ribosomal RNA", at positions 524 to 776 of the family's 1533-position model. The record is from RNAcentral.